This is a non-coding RNA of Termitomyces sp. Mi166#008, 83 nucleotides long. NCBI's taxonomy places the organism in Eukaryota, Fungi, Basidiomycota, Agaricomycetes, Agaricales, Lyophyllaceae. The record is from the annotation of a GenBank genome assembly.
GCCCUCUUAGCUCAGUGGUAGAGCGCGUCACUCGUACUUCGAAGUACAUGACGAGGUCAGUCGUUCAAGUCGGCUAGGGGGCA